Long non-coding RNA from Panicum virgatum (switchgrass), 212 nucleotides. RefSeq lists it as uncharacterized. Lineage: Eukaryota; Viridiplantae; Streptophyta; Magnoliopsida; Poales; Poaceae. The transcript has 3 exons. The record is from RefSeq and is a predicted model, not a curated record.
CAGUGGCAUGUCAUCAAGAUCUACUAGUCUGGUGAUGCUGUAUCAUGUGUAUGCAGUAGGCUGGUGAGGUGGCCGGCCGGCAGUGUGCGUUUUGUUUCAUCCUGAUCCAUCGAACCAGCUCCUACUACUAACUGCUGGUGGCUUGGCUUGAAAUAUUAGUGCAUUUGAGUGCUCAGUGGAAGCAAUGAAUGGUAUAAAACUGAAGCAAUCAG